AAGAAAAAAUUUAAUUAUAUUUAUGGUUUUAUAAUUAUUUAAUAUAAAUAAAUUUAAAUUUAAAAGUUUUUGUAUAGUUUAAAGAUAAAAUAAUUUAGUUUAUAAUGAAUUAGUAUUGAGAAAGAAAAUUGAAAAAUUUUUUUGUUUAUUAAAAAGUAGUAUUGAUUUUAUGUACCUUUUGUAUCAGGGUUUAUUAAAUAAGAGUAAAAAAUUUUAUGUUCUCGAAUUUAAAGGAGCUAAAUUAGUAGAAUAGUUUUUGUGUUAUAAAAAUUAUAAAUAUUAAUUUAGAAAUGAAAUGUUAUUCGUCUUUAAAGAUAUCUAGUUUUUUAAGAAAUAAAUUUAAUUUAUAUAUUAAUUAAUUAAUUUUUUAAUUUUUAAAUUAAUUAAUAAUUAAUAUAAAUAUAUCAAGGGAUAAGCUUUGAUUUAUUAAAAUUAUAAUUAUAUUAUAUAUUUAAUUAAUUGUAGAUUUAGAAAUAGUUAUCAAUAAAAAAUUUGUAUUAAUUUAUAAAUUUUUAAAAAAUAUUUAGUAAAAUUUAAUUAUAGUAUUAAAAUGUAGAUUUUAAUUUUUAAAAUUUAGUAAUAAUGAUAAAAUUAGUAUAGUAAAAUUGUUUGAAUAUAAUUUAUAAUAAAGUUAUUUUAAGGAAUUCGGCAAAAAUAAUGUUCACCUGUUUAACAAAAACAUGUCUUUUAGAUUAUAAUUUAAAGUCUAACCUGCCCACUGAAUUUAUUUGAAGGGCCGCGGUAUUUUGACUGUGCAAAGGUAGCAUAAUCAUUAGUCUUUUAAUUGAAGGCUUGUAUGAAUGGUUGGAUGAAACAUUAACUGUCUCAAUUUAAUAAAAUUAGAAUUUAAUUUUUAAGUUAAAAAGCUUAAAUUAAAUUAGAGGACGAGAAGACCCUAUAGAUCUUUAUAAUUAAUUAUUUAUUAUUAAUAUAGAAAAUUAAUUAAUGUUAUUUAAUAAAUUAUUUUAUUGGGGUGAUAAAUAAAUUUAGGAAACUUUAUUUUAUAAAAACAUUUAUUUAUGAAUAUUUGAUCCAUUAUUAAUGAUUAAAAGAUUAAGUUACCUUAGGGAUAACAGCGUAAUUUUUUUAGAGAGUUCUUAUCGAUAAAAAAGUUUGCGACCUCGAUGUUGAAUUAAAGGUUAAUUUUAGGUGCAGAAGUUUAAAGUUUUGGUCUGUUCGACCAUUAAAUCUUUACAUGAUUUGAGUUCAAACCGGCGUGAGCCAGGUUGGUUUCUAUCCUUAAUAAAAUAAAAUAUUUUAGUACGAAAGGACCAAAUAUUUAAAAAAUUUUUUAAAACUAGAAUAAUAUUAAU
RNAcentral lists this ribosomal RNA (1313 nucleotides) under Protohermes niger. RNAcentral describes it as "16S ribosomal RNA". The stretch from base 1069 to 1228 matches the Rfam family "Archaeal large subunit ribosomal RNA", at positions 2542 to 2701 of the family's 2987-position model. Lineage: Eukaryota; Metazoa; Arthropoda; Insecta; Megaloptera; Corydalidae. The record is from RNAcentral.